UACGGCUAUAUAACGUUGAAACACCCGUUUCCGAAUGCUAACCGAAGUUAAGCAACGUCGAGCCUUGUUAGUACCUAGAUGGGUGACUGCUUGAGAAUACCAGGUAAUGCUG
Non-coding RNA from Acanthosepion pharaonis, 112 nucleotides. NCBI's taxonomy places the organism in Eukaryota, Metazoa, Mollusca, Cephalopoda, Sepiida, Sepiidae. The record is from the annotation of a GenBank genome assembly.